GUGGGGAAUAUUGGACAAUGGGCGAAAGCCUGAUCCAGCCAUGCCGCGUGUGUGAAGAAGGUCUUCGGAUUGUAAAGCACUUUAAGUUGGGAGGAAGGGCAGUAAGUUAAUACCUUGCUGUUUUGACGUUACCGUCAGAAUAAGCACCGGCUAACUUCGUGCCAGCAGCCGCGGUAAUACGAAGGGUGCAAGCGUUAAUCGGAAUUACUGGGCGUAAAGCGCGCGUAGGUGGGUUUGUAAGUUGGAGGUGAAAUCCCCGGGCUCAACCUGGGAACUGCCUCCAAAACUGCAGGACUAGAGUACGGUAGAGGGUAGUGGAAUUUCCUGUGUAGCGGUGAAAUGCGUAGAUAUAGGAAGGAACACCAGUGGCGAAGGCGACUACCUGGACUGAUACUGACACUGAGGUGCGAAAGCGUGGGGAGCAAACAGGAUUAGAAACCCUUGUAGUCC
RNAcentral lists this ribosomal RNA (450 nucleotides) under uncultured bacterium. RNAcentral describes it as "partial 16S ribosomal RNA". It matches the Rfam family "Bacterial small subunit ribosomal RNA", at positions 354 to 796 of the family's 1533-position model. The record is from RNAcentral.